CGACCCGCGUUCCCCCCGUCGCCGCCAGCUGCGGGCGCUCGGGGUUUUAGCGGUGUCGCAGAGCAGUGGCGGCUCCUUCUUCACCCGGCGGAGCAGAUCAGUAACUCGUGGCUCCGCCGGAAUUUGGGGGGUCGUACAAAU
Molecule: small nucleolar RNA, 141 nt
Filed under: Cyanoderma ruficeps (rufous-capped babbler)
Lineage: Eukaryota; Metazoa; Chordata; Aves; Passeriformes; Timaliidae
Description: Small nucleolar RNA SNORA79 (ENSCRFG00000014285.1)
Rfam family: Small nucleolar RNA SNORA79
About the family: ACA65 (SNORA79) is a member of the H/ACA class of snoRNAs that guide the sites of modification of uridines to pseudouridines. This snoRNA was identified by computational screening and its expression in mouse experimentally verified by Northern blot and primer extension analysis.
Source: Rfam by way of RNAcentral